UGCAAGUCCGAACGGUGAUCAGGAAGCUUGCUUCUUGUGAGCAGUGGCGAACGGGUGAGUAACACGUGAGUAACCUGCCCCUGACUCUGGAAUAAGCGCUGGAAACGGCGUCUAAUACCGGAUAUGACACGAUCAGGCAUCUGAAUCGUGUGGAAAGUUUUUCGGUCUGGGAUGGACUCGCGGCCUAUCAGCUUGUUGGUGAGGUAAUGGCUCACCAAGGCGAUGACGGGUAGCCGGCCUGAGAGGGCGAUCGGCCACACUGGGACUGAGACACGGCCCAGACUCCUACGGGAGGCAGCAGUGGGGAAUAUUGCACAAUGGGCGAAAGCCUGAUGCAGCGACGCCGCGUGAGGGAUGAGGGCCUUCGGGUUGUAAACCUCUUUCAGCAGGGAAGAAGCGAAAGUGACGGUACCUGCAGAAGAAGCACCGGCUAACUACGUGCCAGCAGCCGCGGUAAUACGUAGGGUGCGAGCGUUGUCCGGAAUUAUUGGGCGUAAAGAGCUUGUAGGCGGUUUGUCGCGUCUGCCGUGAAAAUCCGGGGCUCAACCCCGGACUUGCGGUGGGUACGGGCAGACUAGAGUGUGGUAGGGGGAGACUGGAAUUCCUGGUGUAGCGGUGAAAUGCGCAGAUAUCAGGAGGAACACCGAUGGCGAAGGCAGGUCUCUGGGCCACUACUGACGCUGAGAAGCGAAAGCAUGGGGAGCGAACAGGAUUAGAUACCCCUGGUAGUCCAUGCCGUAAACGUUGGGAACUAGGGUGUGGGUCUCAUUCCACGAGAUCCGUGCCGCAGCUAACGCAUUAA
Molecule: ribosomal RNA, 802 nt
Filed under: Intrasporangiaceae bacterium LCK-2009.18
Lineage: Bacteria; Bacillati; Actinomycetota; Actinomycetes; Micrococcales; Intrasporangiaceae
Description: bacterial SSU rRNA
Rfam family: Bacterial small subunit ribosomal RNA
Source: RNAcentral